CCUACGGGAGGCAGCAGUGGGGAAUAUUGCACAAUGGGGGAAACCCUGAUGCAGCGACGCAGCGUGAGUGAAGAAGUAUUUCGGUAUGUAAAGCGCUAUCAGCAGGGAAGAAAAUGACGGUACCUGAUUAAGAAGCCCCGGCUAACUACGUGCCAGCAGUCGAGGUAAUACGUAGGGGGCAAGCGUUAUCCGGAUAUAAUGGGUGAAAAGUGGUCCUAGACGGCAGCGCAAGUCUGGAGUGAAAUGCCGGGGGUUAACCCUGGACCCGCUUUGGAUACUGGGCAGCUAGAGUGCAGUAGAGGUAAGUGGAAUUCCUAGUGUAGCGGUGAAAUGCGUAGAUAUUAGGAAGAACACCAGUGGCGAAGGCGGCUUACUGGACUGUAACUGACGUUGAGGCUCGAAAGCGUGGGGAGCAAACAGGAUUAGAUACCCCAGUAGUC
Molecule: ribosomal RNA, 440 nt
Filed under: uncultured bacterium
Lineage: Bacteria
Description: partial 16S ribosomal RNA
Rfam family: Bacterial small subunit ribosomal RNA
Source: RNAcentral